This 497-nucleotide ribosomal RNA is filed under the name uncultured bacterium. Its description in RNAcentral is "partial 16S ribosomal RNA". It matches the Rfam family "Bacterial small subunit ribosomal RNA", at positions 28 to 507 of the family's 1533-position model. The record is from RNAcentral.
GACGAACGCUGGCGGCGUGCCUAAUACAUGCAAGUCGAGCGAACAGACGGGGAGUUUGCUCGUCUGACGUUAGCGGCGGACGGGUGAGUCACACGUGGAUAACCUACCUAUAAGACUGGGAUAAUUUCGGGAAACCGGCGCUAAUGGGGGAUGAUAUAUUGCACCGCGUGGGGCAAUAGUGAAAUUCGGUUUUUCUGUCAGUUAUAGAUGCAUCCGCGCCGCAUUAGCUAGUUGGUAAGGUAACGGGUUACCAAGGCUACGAUGCGUAGCCGACCUGAGAGGGUGGUCGGCCACAUGGGAAGUGAGACAGGGCCCAGACGCCUAGGGUAGGCAGCAGUCGGGAAUCCUCCGCAAUGGGGGAGAGCCUGACGGAGCGACGCGGCGUGAGUGAUGAAGGUGUUCGGAUCGGAAAACUCUGUUAGUAGUAGAGAACAAAUGUGCUAUUAACUGUGACGGUAUUGACGGUACCUGAUCAAAAAGCCCCGGCUAACUACGUG